Molecule: long non-coding RNA, 1419 nt
Organism: Olea europaea var. sylvestris
Lineage: Eukaryota; Viridiplantae; Streptophyta; Magnoliopsida; Lamiales; Oleaceae
Exons: 2
Source: RefSeq, a predicted model, not a curated record
UUCUUCCCUCAACUCUCGUCUCCGCCUCUCACUCGUCUCUCAUUAAUUCCUCUCUUAUAAUACUCUUUUCCCCAUUAAUGGCAGUGGACGUCGCUGUCUCUGGGAGGUGCCACCACAAGCAUUUCGUGGUAAUAAUGUCUGCUGUCUUCAACGCUUUCUCAUGCUCUCCCCCCAUUCUCUGACGUAUAGUUGCGCUUCUCUGCCCUAACUACCGGCGGCACUACCGGUUCACCUCAACUUCUCUGAUUAUUUUGUCAUCCAGCAACUAUAAACCUCCAACACCGGUGGUUCUCGCACGGGCUCGGCAAAACUUAUCUUCCAUGGUCAAAGAAGAUGAAGUAGCUUCUCGUAAGGACAUAAUAAUAAAUUCACAGUUGUACUUUAAUAUUAAUUGUUAGUUUAUAUGAUAAUUGGAAAAGCAAGAUUAGCAAUCAGAUUUUAUUUAUUUUUAUUAAUUUACUGUUUGUUGUUAGCUGAUGAUUUACAUUUCGAGGGCAGCUCAAAAUAGUGGAAUAUCCAGACCCAAUAUUGAGAGCGAAGAACAAGCAAACAAUCGUGUUUUGGUUUAUUUAUUUCUUUAAAUUGAUGAAAUUUUUUAAUUGUUUUCAAGAUGAUAUAGAUAAUGAAUUCUUGAGUCAAUUGUGUUGUAACUUGUAAGUGUUGGGUGAAUGAAUUGAAAUUAUUGUGGAGAUUCUUUGAAAGCAAAGAACCUAGAAAGGGGCUUUUCACCUUUGCACCUUGAAGUAGACUAUGCAAUAAAAUAUAUCUUGUUGGCUGUUCAGGUUCUGAUAUUUUGGGAAUUUUUUACUGUGAUUGUUUAGCUACCUGGUAACUAUACAUUUAAUUUCAGUAAUACCUUUGAAUUCCAUGCUACCCUUGAUACGUGGACUACUUCAUAAUGGGGAUGAAGUUAGAAGAAAUGGAGAGCUCCAUGGUUCUGAUCAAGCAAGGUGUUGAAGCUGAUGCUGCUGCAUGGCUUGAAUAUUUUGAAUCAAAAGCUUUGGAGCAGCAUGGAGCAGCACGUAAUGGAACUCCAAAACCGGAUGCAUCCAUUGCCUGCAAAGGUCACCUGAGGUAUUGAUUUAGCAAACGAUAUGGAGUUCAUUGAACGUUAUGAAUCUCUACCGUAAUGUGUAUUAAAAGAAGAAGAUUUAAAAGAAAAAGAUUGCAUUACGACGAAGCAUCAGGUAUCUUCAAGGUGGGAGGCUCUUUUCUAUAUGAAAGAUGCAGACCAAGAAGAAAGUAACGGGAAGGAUUUUUGAGAUCUAGCCAACCCAACGGUUUGAAAUCAGCAAGUUGUAAAUUAUCUUCUUUUAUACAAUAAUUUUCUUUUGUUUAAGAGGAGUAUAAGAUAUUUAUUAGAUGGGCGAUAUGCAAAUAAAAAAUUUUCUUCAAUUUAUUAUAAUGAUGAGUUUUGUC